UUCUUCAUUUUUCUCAGUCCUGAGAAGAACAGAGAAGAACAAUCUUUGCAUCGUCCAUCUGCAGCUGUUUACAGCUAAGGGGGAUGCUGUACCAUCUACUGUGUUCCUGUGAGCAGUAAGAGACCUACUGGCUUUCAUGUCGUUUCCAACACUUGGUGGACCUCCUUGCCCAUCUGGCAGAUAUCAUGUUCUUAUCGAGAAGAAGUUACAAGGCACACUAAAGGAAAAAACAGAGGCAGAAUCCAACUGAGAGAGCAAGAACAGUCACAUCAGGCAUGGAGCUGGAAAGGAAAUCUUGUGUUCUGUCUGUCUGUCCUCGGGGAAGGCUGUCCACCUCCUCCUGACUUCACCUGUCUGCGAUAUGUAUUGUUUAACUCUACCUACUUUCCAGGAUGAGCUGAGUUCUUGACACACGUCAGGUACCCGACAACACCUGUAACUCCAGCUCCCGGAGUCUGACCCUUCUCCUGGCCUCCCAGGCACCUGUACUAACAUGCCCAUACCCACAUGCAGACACGACUAAGCAAUUCUGUUUGGAGCUAACUUUUGGGGGCAUCAACGGUGUUUGACUCAAGUUUGAACCCAAGAUCUCCUCAGACAUCCUUCAAACAAGUAUCCUCCGAUGAUUCAGAAACCCCACAAACAGAAAUGUUAGCAAAAGACCUAGGAAAGCUGACCUUCAACCAUAGUGCUAUGAAGCUUUCUUCUCCUUGACCAGAAAAGGACAUCAUCAUCACCACCACCACCAUCAUCAUCAUCUCCACCGCUGGAGGGAGAAUGGGUGGAGAACAGAUGUGGAGAACCAUGGGGAAGGUUCAAAGUGCCUUUCCCAGGAGAAGGGUCCAGACAUUACUGUUGGUACAGAAUGACUCUGUAGCAAAGAGAAACAGAUUAUAAGGAUUGGAUAGAGCUAUUGGUCUUUGUGGAAAUCAGUUUGAAGAAGAUAGUGGACCAUUCAGAUACAUCUGCUCUUUCUGCCUGGAUCAUAGAUGGAUCCUUCUGAGAAUGCUGCCCUGGGGAGAAAGUAGGACAGUCAAUUUAGGCUGAAAUUGUACAUUGCCCUUUACUGCUGAUAAUACUGAUGUAAAAGCUUUUUUUUUUUUUUUGAGAUGAAACUGUACAGAGAUCAUUUUGAAUAAUCUAUGCAUGUAUUUUGUGAUUUAUUUCAGUUCUUUGGCAAUCAUUUUGACUAGUCUAUGUACAAGUUCUGUGAUAUAUUUCGACUCAUUUGCUGCAAUCAUUUGACCAAUCUCUGCGUGAGAUCUGUAAUGCAUUUCCGUUCUUCUAUUUGUCUGAUGCUGCGAUAUGUCUUCCAAACUUGUCCCCAUUGAUCUAUAUGGGAUGUGUAAAGUCUGAAUGCAAGUGAAUGAUUUCAUUAUAUCUUUAUGUUCCAAUUUGACCCAAA
Molecule: long non-coding RNA, 1405 nt
Organism: Mus musculus (house mouse)
Lineage: Eukaryota; Metazoa; Chordata; Mammalia; Rodentia; Muridae
Product: predicted gene 14009
Exons: 5
Source: RefSeq, a predicted model, not a curated record